CUUUCUGAGACAAAGGAUCCACUCCGCGCCUAACCACACCUAAAGAAAUGCUUUGAAGGAAUUGCCAAGCUCACUUUUAAUCAUGAGAAAGAAAUUACCCACAUGGAGUCAGCAGAAAAUGAAAAAGUAGAGCUCGUGCUGCGAAUAAUUCCAGCAAGUGCCAAGGGGCUAGUUGAGAAAUGGCUUCAUGAGG
Molecule: long non-coding RNA, 193 nt
Organism: Alligator mississippiensis (American alligator)
Lineage: Eukaryota; Metazoa; Chordata; Crocodylia; Alligatoridae
Rfam family: Rhabdomyosarcoma 2 associated transcript conserved region 9
Source: Rfam